Molecule: ribosomal RNA, 433 nt
Filed under: uncultured bacterium
Lineage: Bacteria
Description: partial 16S ribosomal RNA
Rfam family: Bacterial small subunit ribosomal RNA
Source: RNAcentral
AACGAACGCUGGCGGCAUGCCUAACACAUGCAAGUCGAACGAGACCUUCGGGUCUAGUGGCGCACGGGUGCGUAACGCGUGGGAACCUGCCCUUAGGUUCGGAAUAACUCCCCGAAAGGGGUGCUAAUACCGGAUAAUGUCUUCGGACCAAAGAUUUAUCGCCUUUGGAUGGGCCCGCGUUGGAUUAGCUAGUUGGUAGGGUAAAAGCCUACCAAGGCGACGAUCCAUAGCUGGUCUGAGAGGAUGAUCAGCCACACUGGGACUGAGACACGGCCCAGACUCCUACGGGAGGGAGCAGUGGGGAAUAUUGGACAAUGGGCGAGAGCCUGAUCCAGCAAUGCCGCGUGAGUGAUGAAGGCCUUAGGGUUGUAAAGCUCUUUUACCCGGGAUGAUAAUGACAGUACCGGGAGAAUAAGCUCCGGCUAACUCCGUG